UACGUAGGGUGCGAGCGUUGUCCGGAAUUAUUGGGCGUAAAGGGCUCGUAGGCGGUCUGUCACGUCGGGAGUGAAAACACGGGGCUUAACCCCGUGCCUGCUUCCGAUACGGGCAGACUAGAGGUAUGCAGGGGAGAACGGAAUUCCUGGUGUAGCGGUGAAAUGCGCAGAUAUCAGGAGGAACACCGGUGGCGAAGGCGGUUCUCUGGGCAUUACCUGACGCUGAGGAGCGAAAGUAUGGGGAGCGAACAGG
This 253-nucleotide ribosomal RNA is filed under the name uncultured bacterium. RNAcentral's name for it is "partial 16S ribosomal RNA". It matches the Rfam family "Bacterial small subunit ribosomal RNA", at positions 524 to 776 of the family's 1533-position model. The record is from RNAcentral.